AACGCACAUUGCGCCCUCUGGUAUUCCGGAGGGCACACCUGUUCGAGCGCCGUUUAAUACUUGAGGCUCAGCCUUGUGUUGACCCUUCCCUGUUUUGGGAUCGGUUAAAAAACAUGCAGAUCCUAAACACUAGAAGCAUACGCAAUAGUAUUUCGACUCUUGUUUUUAGAUCUUGAUUAUCUAAACUUAUGGCCUCGGAUCAGGUGGGGAUACCCGCUGAACUUAA
Molecule: unclassified non-coding RNA, 226 nt
Filed under: Hyaloscypha sp.
Lineage: Eukaryota; Fungi; Ascomycota; Leotiomycetes; Helotiales; Hyaloscyphaceae
Also listed under: 1 other name
Description: partial contains 5.8S ribosomal RNA, internal transcribed spacer 2, and large subunit ribosomal RNA
Source: RNAcentral